AAAGAAACAUGGAAGGAUCGAAGUAGCAACGUGAAUCCCUGUCUUAGAGAACUGACGGAUGGUGCGAGUCAGUAUAUAUUCACUUGCGAAUUACAAUCUGGAGUUUUUCUUUUUAUUAUUCGCGUCAUGGAGGCGGAUAAUAAGAAGAACGGUGACAACCAUCGUUAACAAACCUUAAGCGGCUAUUUUAUAAUAGCAACAAGGGUGGUACCGCGAAUCCAACUCGUCCCUUUC
Molecule: non-coding RNA, 234 nt
Filed under: Oceanobacillus oncorhynchi
Lineage: Bacteria; Bacillati; Bacillota; Bacilli; Caryophanales; Bacillaceae
Description: T-box sequence
Rfam family: T-box leader
About the family: Uncharged tRNA acts as the effector for transcription antitermination of genes in the T-box leader family.
Source: RNAcentral